RNAcentral lists this unclassified non-coding RNA (1990 nucleotides) under Hevea brasiliensis (rubber tree). Lineage: Eukaryota; Viridiplantae; Streptophyta; Magnoliopsida; Malpighiales; Euphorbiaceae. The record is from RNAcentral.
AAAUUUUGUAGUUUAAUUUUAAAAAUAUGGAAUAUUAAAAAAACAAAAUAUUAAAAAAAUAAAAUUAUGUUAUAUUGCUCUCGCUUUGCUUACGUCAUGUCCGGCCACGGCCACAUAGCCGUCUCUCUCUCUUCUCUCUCCGUCUCUCGCCUUCAACCCACAAAGCCCAUCCUGUCGAGAACCAGUCAAAUUUAACAUGUAAUAGAUUACAAGUUGCAUAUGCUUCUCUUUUCUUUCAUCUUUUCUGAAUCAAUUCUACACGAACUAGUCAAACACCCAAGAAUAUGCAUAUGCCAGACAGAUAAAACAUCUCUUUCUAUUCCUUUUCAUUGGUUUCUUUAUCUUAAACUGUUAUUAUAAUUUAUUUUUGAGAUGAUCAAAAGAUAUAUGUGUGUAUUUACAAUAUAGAAGAGCUUCAAAACCCGCUCAAAAUCUUUUAUUUUUAAAGAGAAAAUGGACUCUGAUUUUGGACCUCUCGCCUCGCUGCCACCAGACGACAAUACACUUUGCAGCACCAUCAUCAGAGCUACCACCUAGAUCGGUUGAGCAUCGAUGAUUUCGUGGUAGAAGACGAGGUGCGACCCGAUUUCCCAUGUCCCUACUGUUAUGAAGAUUUCGACAUUGCGUCUCUGUGUUCCCACCUUGAAGAUGAGCACUCUUGGAAGUCUAAAGUCACCGUAAGUUUGAAACAAAAAGAUAUUUUCUGUGUUCCUGCUUAUGUUCUUCUCUUCCUGAUUGGGUUUUGUCGCAAAAAACUUUUAUCCUUGUUAUGAAUUUAAUUUAAUGUUAACGAUUUGGUUUGCUUUUGAGAAAGCAGACAAGCUAGUUGCGCUUACUUGUUUUGGUACUUUAAUGUAUGCGUUUAACUCCUAGAGUCCUAGGCUUAUAAUAACCCUUUUCUUUCCUCUUAUGUUUGUAUCAGUUUGUCUUUUCUUUUGUUGAUUUUAUGGUUUAAAAUCCCAUACUUUUUAUCUCAAUAGAAAAUGGGUUGAGGCUUGAGGGGACCAAAUUUUUGUUAAUAUCUUUAAAUGUGUAUAAUAUAUGCAUGGCCCGAAUAUUGAUGCCUUUCCAUUCAAGUACCAAGGAAUGCUGGAAAUGGAUGCUUCCUCGUUGGGUAUGCCAUGUUGACAGAUAGCUAUUUUGCUGCUUGGUUUACCGUAGGGGAAUCCUGCGCAUGUUUUUGUUGCAGUAUGAGGAAAUGUAGCCUUGAGGAUUGAGCUUUCUGGUGCCUUAUUUCUAUAAUCAAACUGGUUGUAUGGUAGAAAAAGUCCUAUGUUGAAAGUAAUCUAGAAGAUUAAUUUGAUUUAUGAAUUGUUAGAGUUGGUUUGUUUCAAAGCGGUUACAUUCCUCUCUAGGAGGUCCUUGAGUUGAGCAGCCUGCUUGAAUAAUUUACAACAGAUACUUGAUAUCAGUUUCACAUUUUUAGUUUGUUCCAUGAGCAAUUAAGGACAGAUAUAGAAGAAGGUGUGACUGAGGUUCUAACUUCCAAAAUAUGAAGAGGAUAUCAAGAGCUGGCAACCCUUUCAGUUUUUAGUACAGCAAAUAGUCUUUUAAUUGCUGCAAGUAGCAUGAUAGAUUUGCUUUUAUGAAUGGUGUCAAAGAUGUGGUGGUUAGUACAAUAUUUCGGGUCAUGUUGGUGUGUUGUUUCAAUAGUUCGAGAUUUUAAAUAAGGAUACAUGCGUGUGAUGCUUGUUGUAGCGAGUAAGAAUGUGAAGAAGUGACAGACCAAUAGAAAUGAAGGUACAAGAGUCCAGACAUUUUUUCUUUUGCUCUUCUUUAUAGAAAUCCCUUUUGUUCUCUUGGCAUUUUCUUCUUUCUUUUUGGAAGGUACUGUUGUAAUGAAAAGUAAGGCAGAGGGAAAGGGAGGGAGGAGAAAUGAAAAUCGGAUCUAUAUUGUACCAUGAUCAAUUGUAAUUCAGUUUUUAAGCCAUUGCUGUUCAAUGCAAUCAAUUCCUCACACACUUCUCUUUAAGAGUGUGAUCAACAGCAG